This 497-nucleotide ribosomal RNA is filed under the name uncultured bacterium. RNAcentral's name for it is "partial 16S ribosomal RNA". It matches the Rfam family "Bacterial small subunit ribosomal RNA", at positions 28 to 507 of the family's 1533-position model. The record is from RNAcentral.
GAUGAACGCUGGCGGCGUGCCUAAUACAUGCAAGUCGAGCGAACAGACGAGGAGCUUGCUCCUCUGACGUUAGCGGCGGACGGGUGAGUAACACGUGGAUAACCUACCUAUAAGACUGGGAUAACUUCGGGAAACCGGAGCUAAUACCGGAUAAUAUAUUGAACCGCAUGGUUCAAUAGUGAAGGACGGUUUUGCUGUCACUUAUAGAUGGAUCCGCGCCGCAUUAGCUAGUUGGUAAGGUAACGGCUUACCAAGGCAACGAUGCGUAGCCGACCUGAGAGGGUGAUCGGCCACACUGAAACUGAGACACGGUCCAGACUCCUACGGGAGGCAGCAGUAGGGAAUCUUCCGCAAUGGGCGAAAGCCUGACGGAGCAACGCCGCGUGAGUGAUGAAGGUCUUCGGAUCGUAAAACUCUGUUAUUAGGGAAGAACAAAUGUGUAAGUAACUAUGCACGUCUUGACGGUACCUAAUCAGAAAGCCACGGCUAACUACGUG